UUCCUGGAGGACUAGUGGUUAGGCCACAGCGCUUUCACCGCUGCGGCCUGCAUUCGAUUCCUGGCCAGGAAA
This 72-nucleotide transfer RNA is filed under the name Pangasianodon gigas (Mekong giant catfish). RNAcentral describes it as "tRNA-Glu". It matches the Rfam family "tRNA". From Rfam's summary of the family: Transfer RNA (tRNA) molecules are approximately 80 nucleotides in length. Their secondary structure includes four short double-helical elements and three loops (D, anti-codon, and T loops). The record is from RNAcentral. Lineage: Eukaryota; Metazoa; Chordata; Actinopteri; Siluriformes; Pangasiidae.